This is a long non-coding RNA of Bombus pyrosoma, 4033 nucleotides long. RefSeq lists it as uncharacterized. NCBI's taxonomy places the organism in Eukaryota, Metazoa, Arthropoda, Insecta, Hymenoptera, Apidae. The record is from RefSeq and is a predicted model, not a curated record. The transcript is spliced from 3 exons.
GAAGUUGUCGCAUAUUAGGACAGAGAAUUUCUACUAACUUUAAUCGAUUAUUGCUACGUAGCAGAGUGGAACCGUACUAUGGAGUUUCGUUGUAACUAAACUAUGUCACAAAAGAUGAACUGGCUACAGGAGACGCAAACAGAAAAACGAUAACUAUCCUAUGGAAUGCUUAACAAAUAGAAACUGGAACCUGAAAAGCAACUUGGUCCAAACAGUAUCCAACACUCAUGAAACUAAUAUCAAUCAAUAUCGAAUAAAUACAAAUCAUCGUACGAAAAGCUUAAUAAAUAAGAAUUGUAACCUGGAAAGCGUAAGAACUUGCUAUGAAUAUGUAACAUAAUUGUUUAACAACGUCUAUACAUAAUACAAGUAUGCGUAUUAUAUGCACGAAAAGAAUAUUAACCACUUUUUAAAAACAACAUAAAAUCAUAUUUUUUAUUCCAACAUAUUUAAACCUUAGAUUUGAAAAACGUCCGAUACCUUGACGAUCAUCAUAGCGUUGCGAAUUCCAUUUUUUAUCAUAUCAAAGAUCAUUAAAAUGGGAUGCAAUAAAAAAAAAAAAAAAAAAAUAUUCAAACGUAUGUGUCUCUACGAAAAUACCUCAACCCCUGUUUCUAUUGAUCAAAGAACCGCGUUGAAUAUUCUAUUUAAAGCGUUCGUGUAACUGCCCUUCGUAAUUACACGAACGCACGUAACCGCAUCCGCAUUAAAGCCAGAAAUUGCUGCCGUUUUUCCUCGCGAAAAAUAAUCCUUGGAUAUCCGCAACGUUUUCACCCCCUUGGUUCGAAAGCGUGUCGACGUUAUAGACCGACCCAGUUCCGCUUCUUCCCUUCUGUUUCGAAAAAUCGUGUCCCUACCCUGUGAACGCGUGUGUGCCAGCUUAUCUUCGGCGACGGCGCGGCGGAGAGACGCGUUCACGUUGAAAGUUCGCGGCUGUUUGCGUUGCAAGAAGGUUGAUCACGUUACCAGCUCACGUGUCGCUAUCUGGGUCAAUAUGCCCCAAUGAUAUUAAGCCAUUCGCGACACGCGAGUUUCGCAAUUGGGCGGUUCGUCUCAUCUCCGAUUCGUUUCCUUUCCAGUCUCUCAGCAACGAUUCAUCACGUAGAAAUGCAAAUAAUCGCAGCUUCCCAUUGAUUAAUCAGUCUGCUUUGGUAGUGUGUAAUUAAGAGAGAAGCUGCUUGUGUUUCUUUCAUUUAAUUACCUUUUUAUAUUCCUCUUGGAGAAAUUCCUUAUCUCGUCCUUAUCUGAGUUUAUUCGAGAAGCUUUUAAACUGUAGAAAAAUAGAGAAUUAGAUAAAUUGUAGUCUCAAAAGUGUGGAAUUAUUAGCUCGUUGGAACGAUUGGUCAAAGUUAUAGUUCACGAUGGUAGGAGAUACCGAAGCGGCUCAAAGUGUCUAGUAGCCAGGCAAUUUUACGAAACGACGUUCGGAAUAUUCUACAAUAAACAAGAAAAAGAGUUUAAAAUCGUAAUGGUGUAAGUCAAGACUUGGGGAAUUUAGAUUUAAUCACGUAUCGACGGUAAUAACUCUUAAUUUCAUAAUUAAUUAGGUCGUAACUCAAUUCUUAGUCACGAUACGUUUUUAUGGCUUAAAAGAAUACAAUGAAUUUUUUAUACUAACGAAACAUAAUGAAUUUGUUCUAUUGAUAAGACAAAACGUUAUUUCGUAAGAAAUAUUAUAUUAUUUUAUAAAAAAUGACAGUGUAAUUCUCAGUCCAUUAAUUGUAAUCGUAAUUGUUCUUCAGAAUCUUCCGUUAGCUGACCAUUGAACGACUAUAACUUUAAUAGCUAACGCUAAAGAAAGUAUCAAGAGGUAGUUUCGUAAACUGAUUUCGGCAAAAUGGUUGCGUGCAGCUCGUUAAGAAACGAUUAGUCAGUUCGGGGAACGAUAACUGAUCGAUAAUUUCGCGGCCCGUUGUUCGACCAGAAUAACGACGUCCGAUCGGAUUUAUAAAUAAUCGCGCGUGAUGGCCGAUUAAGUAAUUACGAAUAUCGAUAUCUCGCGGUUGCCAGGCAGAACGAAGGCAGUACUGGUACCAGUGUUCACCAGCCAAGUAUCGAUUAUCCUCUCUGUCUCUCUUUCUCUUUAAGCUUCUUCCGACCCCGAAUGAAGUUCAUAGAGACAUGGGCGUUGUUCAUAGAUCUUACGGAUUCGAAUGCACUGUGGAAUACAUAGCGACUUUAUCUUUUUGGACGGUGAUGCAUCGUAUCUAAAUAUAUGAUUCAGAAUGUGUAGAAAUAUUGGAGAUAUAAGAAUAUGGAAAUAUAGCGUUAGAGAAUUAGAACUUAUACAGGAACAUAAUGAUUUGAUACACCGUAGACGCGAAUAUUAAUAUUACAAUGUGUUAUAGUACCGCACGAAAUUCUACCAAGCGACUUUCUAAUUUGUCCAAGACGACUCGCCUCGUUUCAAACGUGGAUUUCUGUAGCUCUCAUCGCCAAAAUCGUGUUUCGAGUAUGGCUGCCAACUGGUUACGCAGGAAAAUCGCGAACGUGGAAAUUAAUUCUAUCCAAAAUAUCGCGAAACUUUGUACGUUGAAGUGUUAAACUAAAUCUUAACUAUAAGAAAAAAUAAUACGCAAUUACAUCCAAAUUCUCGACUUGCGUCGCUAUGAUUUUUCACCAUGCCACAUCUCAUUCCUGCAUUUAGUACCGAGGGAAAAACCAAAAUAAAACGAAACCAAAAAAGCAGAAACUGCGCAAUCGAGGAAAUUUACACGUUCAAAGAACUCAAGUUCUCUUUAUCUUGGCGCCUGCCAAGAGAUCAGAAUUCUACAAAGUUUGCCACGCAAUUUACUCUUUUUACCAGCUUUUAGCUCCCAGAUAUCGCUUGCUUUGGUCAAUUCAAAGGUUAUCGAGUGCUCAUAAGAAAUCGUCGUGAUAUCUUGUCAGUAUGAUUUUUAUCCAAAUCGAAGAUCUCGAUCCUUCUUCUAAAUUCACGUUAAAUCCACGAUUCUACUUUAAUUCGUGAUAUUCGUUGAAAUUCCAAUUUAUUUCCCCUGAGCUCUUAAUCAGGAAAGUUGACUUAAUUCACCAAUUUCUUGAUUUAUUUACGCGUACUCCGUUAUUUAAUGUGUCGUUCUAUUUCUGUUAAAAAUAAAUUGUAUCAUAUUCAUAUUUCAAGAACGAACGUUGGUUUCUUUCCUUCAAUCGUCGUCGCAGAAGAGAAUUUGGUCAACAGAUUAACAACGACCGUGAUUUGUCCGAAUAUUUCGACAUCUGUUUAUAAUAUCUGAGAAAAUGAAUCUAAAAAUUGGAAUUACAUAGGCCAUUAUGUUAGCCACGUCAACCGUCUCGACGAUAUUUCUGAUGGUUUUCGCGUGUUAUCGAAAUUAUCAGUCGAAGCUUGAUCGAUGAUCGAAACCUUCGAUACCAGAAAGUUACAAAUCGUUACGUAGGUUGGUGUCUAUGGUUAUUCGAGACAUUGAUAGCCGAAGUGAACUAGUCUCAAUGCUCGACAAACUGAGUAAUUCGCCGACUAAAAUAAACGUGAACACAAAAUAUUCAGUUGCAGAGAAAUCAGUGUGAUUUCGGCACGUUAUCCGGAUUUAAUUUGGAAAAAAUUAAUUCCUCCACUUUCGAUCCUACCAAUUUCACAUUGAGAAAAAAUUUUCGCCCAGCCACAUUACUUUUACUCUCACUGUACUCACUUCGAACUCACGAUUUCUCAUAGCUAUCGUACAUUAUUUUGUACCAGUACGUUCGUUCACCUUUCUGAUUCGUAUGUUAUUGGCCCCAUAAAAUGGCAUUGAAAGUUUUAUGUCGCUCAUAAACCUUCUCUAUCUUAUAUACACGGUGUUUCAGUUUCGGUAUAUCGGAUUAAACGAUUUGAAAGAUAUAAAAAUUUUGCUGAGAAAGUUUGAUAGACAAAAGUACAUUUCGUUUUUAACGUUAGACAAGAACAACGAACGUUAGGUGUAAAAUUAAUAUUUAUGUUGCUAUCGGCGUAACAGGUGAUUAGCGUAACAUGGCUCUCGUUAAAAUUUAGUUUAAGACCAACAUAUUUCAAUUUACUAAUUAUAGUGCACAGGAUGAU